GACGAACGCUGGCGGCGUGCUUAAUACAUGCAAGUCGAGCGGGCACCAUCCGGUGGCAACACUGGUGAAGUGCUAGCGGCGAACGGGUGAGUAACACGUGAGCAACCUGCCCCAAGUCUGGGAUAACCCCGGGAAACCGGAGCUAAUACCGGAUGCCCUCGUCGGAUCGCAUGGUCUGACGAGGAAAGUUUUUCGCUUGGGGAGGGGCUCGCGGCCUAUCAGCUUGUUGGUGGGGUAACGGCCUACCAAGGCUUCGACGGGUAGCUGGUC
RNAcentral lists this ribosomal RNA (270 nucleotides) under uncultured bacterium. RNAcentral's name for it is "partial 16S ribosomal RNA". It matches the Rfam family "Bacterial small subunit ribosomal RNA", at positions 28 to 292 of the family's 1533-position model. The record is from RNAcentral.